UACGUAGGGUGCGAGCGUUAAUCGGAAUUACUGGGCGUAAAGCGUGCGCAGGCGGUUCGUUAUGUCCGAUGUGAAAUCCCCGGGCUCAACCUGGGAACUGCAUUUGUGACUGCAUCGCUGGAGUACGGCAGAGGGGGAUGGAAUUCCGCGUGUAGCAGUGAAAUGCGUAGAGAUGUGGAGGAACACCGAUGGCGAAGGCAGCCUCCUGGGCCAGCACUGACGCUCAUGCACGAAAGCGUGGGGAGCAAACAGG
RNAcentral lists this ribosomal RNA (253 nucleotides) under uncultured bacterium. Its description in RNAcentral is "partial 16S ribosomal RNA". It matches the Rfam family "Bacterial small subunit ribosomal RNA", at positions 524 to 776 of the family's 1533-position model. The record is from RNAcentral.